CCUUCCGCUCCCACCGACCAAUAGGAGCGCCCGCCGUCUCGCCCUCAGCCAAUGGCCGCGCCCCCCCUCGGAAUCCUGCCCGGGCCUGCCAGCAACAGCUGCGGCCGUCUCGUGACUCGCCCUCCCCCAUCCGCGCGGCGCCCCCUGGCGGGGCUGGGCGGAGCUGCAGGGCGAGACCCCGGCGGCUGUCCCCGGGCGGCGGGACCGGCCCUCGGGGACCCCCGGCACCGGCUGCCGCGGGAGCCCGAAAACCGAGCCCGACAUUGCCCUCGGCUUGGGGCUCUCCCUGCACGGGCGCCGCCCUGGCCGCAGAGCACGGGGCAGCUUUGGCGGCGCUUCGUGCUCCGCUGUGGGGAGAGACAGAAAGCAAACCUCAGUGUUUGCGGAGCAGUGAUCCGUAUCCAACGCGCGGGAGCGUGUCUAGCACCAAGGUCUGUUUGUCUUUGAGCAGGUUUCACGUCAUCUUGACAUAGCUGGGGCCAAUGAUGAAAUCUCUAAUGACUUGUACAGGGCUUGGAUUUUGUCCUUCAGUGGUCACAGCCUGUUGAUCUGCCCUUCUCUCCAAGGAAUGAGUAGUGGCAAGUCUCCUGAAAAGACUCAAUAUUUUUUUUAAAUUGUGCAAAUAUGUGUGCUGGCAGGUGGUUAGCAAAUGUGUUUAAGUUAAACCGACAUUGAAAUAAUCUGUUAUAAUGAAAUAUGCACUGAAGUCUGGAUUAGCUCACUUCUGUACAAGCCAGAGGCUUAAGCUUCCUCCAUGUGGAACUUGCUGACUGAAUCCAUCUGCAUUUCCAUCAGGAGGGUUGGACUUUGAUGUUUGAGAAGGUAAAAUGGUUAGAACUACCUAAAAUGUGCAUCAUUCCUAUUAUUCUUACUGUAUUUUCUCCCUAAUUAUUACUCGUGAGAGAAACUGAAAAAUUUGUGCAAAACAGCAAGCAGCACUUUCUUUUUUAGCAAGCAACAGGAGCUUUUAUAAACAGCUGUUAAUAAAAGCACACGGAGUGUUACAUAGUGACUGAGGCAAGUUUUUCCCACAUCCUGCCCAGAGAUAGAGGUCUUUUCUAGUCUGAAGAGACAGGAAAUAGCCAAGCCAGUUCCCCCAGAUCCUUUCAUGGCGAUGCAACUGAACAAUUUAUUCAGAGUUAUGGGACCCCAUCUGCACUUGUAUUAAAACCAUGUUUUUAUUUGCGUCUAAAUUUUCUAAUGUUCUCUUUCCUUGGAGGAUGGACAGAAAGGCUCAAAGUGGGGACCAGCUUUCUUUCUUUGCUGUUCAACUAAUCAAUCUCUCUUCACCUGUUUUAAUUUUUUAUUUCCUCCUUCACUAGAAAGAUUCCUUGCAUUCUUUAUGGAUGCCUCUCUCAUGCCUCAGAGGUUCUCUGUAAUAAAUAAGAGGAGAAGGAGAAAACCCCCUUAUUCCACAUUAAAAUAUAGCGAGUUAAUGAUUUUUGAUUGUGUUAAUAAAUAUUUCCAAGUAUUUCAAUCCAAAUUGUAUCUCCUGUCAAAUCUCUGGAGCAAAAUACAGAAAAUGCAAUUAAUAUUCAGUAUUGAUCUAUAAUUUUUCAUGAUUUUGGACAGUUGGGUUCUCUUAUAAUUUUAAACUGAAUGUUUUCUUCCUAAUCCUUAGACCUUGUGUAGUUAUUUAUGAGUUCACAGUUGCUUCUGAUGUUUUAUUCAAGCCACUUAAAAUUACAGUUUAUCAGCACUAGGCUGUACAUUGAAAAUAGAUUAAUCUCUGUCAGAAUAGGACAAAUACUAAAUAAAUACUGCAUGAGCAAUUCUCAGAAUUCAGGGUAAAUGCAGAAUAACAGUUUCAUGUGACAAAGCUACAUGAAUUUCCAUAUUCUGGCAAUAAAAGGACCACAGUUUUUCUUUAUUAUCUUUGAAAACAUAUUUUUGAUCAUUAGAACCCUAUUCCUGUAGGCUAAUACAUCUUAUCUGUCAUUUGUAAUUAUGCAGUUUAAUGAAUUUGGGGUUUAGACAUAGCUAAUUAUCUUCCUGAAUCCAGAAAUCAUCUGUAUCAUGUGUGCAAAUGAUUUGGGGUAUAGAAGUUACAGAAAUAAAUGUUGGGAAAGAAUCCAGCCAGGCCUUGGUUUUGGAUACAGUAGAAGUAUUGUAUCUGGACACAGUAGAAGUCCCUUUGGCUCUGAUCCUGCAGUGUGCUUAAAUCAGGGUGAAAUAUCUCAGGCUUUAAAAAGAAACCUAUGAAAUCUAAAUUUUUCCUUAUAACUAACGGGGGUUUGCACAAUGAGUAGGUGUUUUUCUUAUGGUUUAAAGUCACAGUUUUGUCUUUAGCACAGUCUUCUGCACUCCCCAGAUGUGAUUCUUUUCAUGGCAUCUUGAUUUUUGAACUUUCAGCAUGCAUGCAUACCAGGUUUCCACAUUUUUUUACCUGUGACCAGAUGAGUGAGAAGCUUUGCAAUAGCCCCCUUAGCUUUUUCACGGAAUCACAGAACGGUUUCAGUUGGAAGGGACUUUAAAGACCAUCUAGUUUUCAGGUGUUACCCUUACAUGUAAUGAAUACUCUGGUUAAUGUACUUUGUGUUUGCCAGAACAUGUUUUCUCAUAUCCUCAUACAAUCUUGCUGGUGUUUUGCUAAGUCUUCAGCAAGGUGUGCUUAACAACUUCAUUGCUAACUUGUACCUCCUGUGUACACUGUUUUUCUGGUGAGCUGAAAUGGCCAGUGAGAACCACAAACAUUGUGGUUGGUGUGGAAGCCACAAACCUGGACACGUGUAUAUAUCCCUGUACUGUGGAGGUGCAGACACAAUUAUGGCAAGUGCUCUGCUCCUUAUGGGCUCCAUGGUGUCUUGGUGCAGAGCCAGGUCUGCCCCGCUGCCACACACCCCAGUGCAGGCCCCAUGUCCUCUCUGCUCUAAGUUUCUUCAAUUCCCAGGAAUAAAAAAAAAUUCUGAUUAA
Parus major (Great Tit) is the source of this 2913-nucleotide long non-coding RNA. RefSeq lists it as uncharacterized. The transcript is spliced from 2 exons. The record is from RefSeq and is a predicted model, not a curated record. NCBI's taxonomy places the organism in Eukaryota, Metazoa, Chordata, Aves, Passeriformes, Paridae.